AUAUGGCUUCAGAUCUCUGCUUGUUAUACAUGCUUAUGUUAUUUGAUUGCUAUCAUCAAAGUGUUUUUAGGGCUUUUAUGUUCUGGUAGUCUAGUUUAAUUGUUAAACUUAUUUUUAAUUGUUGAAUGCAUAUAAAAAUUUUAAAAUUUAUAUUUCACUAUAUUAUCGAAACCCAACACCAAGUGGUUUAUCAUAUUGAUCACACUUGAUACAAGUUGUUCUCUAACAACCAUUUGCACUCUCACCCCAGUGUCACCACAC
This 261-nucleotide long non-coding RNA is filed under the name Elaeis guineensis (African oil palm). Its description in RNAcentral is "long non-coding RNA (EGUI_LNC069266)". The record is from RNAcentral. Lineage: Eukaryota; Viridiplantae; Streptophyta; Magnoliopsida; Arecales; Arecaceae.